RNAcentral lists this transfer RNA (68 nucleotides) under Marmota monax (woodchuck). Its description in RNAcentral is "tRNA.Ala". The record is from RNAcentral. Lineage: Eukaryota; Metazoa; Chordata; Mammalia; Rodentia; Sciuridae.
GGAUUGUGGUUCAGCGGUAGAGCGCUCGCCUAGCACGUGCGAGGCCCUGGGUUUGAUCCUCAGCACCA